GAGGAGGACAGGUGGUGCGAUGGUUGUCGUCAGCUCGUGUCGUGAGAUGUUGGGUUAAGUCCCGGCAACGAGCGCAACCCUUACGUUUAGUUGCUUAACGGGAGAGCUGAGCACUCUAGACGAACUGCCGUUGACAAAACGGAGGAAGGUGGGGAUGACGUCAAAUCAUCAUGCCCCUUAUACUCUGGGCUACACACGUGCUACAAUGGUCCGUACAGAGGGCAGCGAGCCGGUGACGGCAAGCGAAUCCCUUAAAGCGGAUCUCAGUUCGGAUUGCAGGCUGCAACCCGCCUGCAUGAAGUCGGAAUCGCUAGUAAUCGCAGGUCAGCAUACUGCGGUGAAUACGUUCCCGGGCCUU
Molecule: ribosomal RNA, 358 nt
Filed under: uncultured Desulfurispora sp.
Lineage: Bacteria; Bacillati; Bacillota; Clostridia; Eubacteriales; Desulfurisporaceae
Description: bacterial SSU rRNA
Rfam family: Bacterial small subunit ribosomal RNA
Source: RNAcentral